UUGACCUCAAAUCAGGUAGGACUACCCGCUGAACUUAAGCAUAUCAAUAAGCGGAGGAAAAGAAACUAACAAGGAUUCCCCUAGUAACUGCGAGUGAAGAGGGAAAAGCUCAAAUUUAAAAUCUGGCAGCUUCGCUGUCCGAGUUGU
This 147-nucleotide ribosomal RNA is filed under the name Armillaria sp. 5 TG-2016. RNAcentral describes it as "partial large subunit ribosomal RNA". It matches the Rfam family "Eukaryotic large subunit ribosomal RNA", at positions 1 to 146 of the family's 3401-position model. The record is from RNAcentral. Lineage: Eukaryota; Fungi; Basidiomycota; Agaricomycetes; Agaricales; Physalacriaceae.